This is a long non-coding RNA of Eriocheir sinensis (Chinese mitten crab), 7533 nucleotides long. RefSeq lists it as uncharacterized. The transcript has 4 exons. The record is from RefSeq and is a predicted model, not a curated record. Lineage: Eukaryota; Metazoa; Arthropoda; Malacostraca; Decapoda; Varunidae.
CAAUGUUUGCCAUGGAAGACUCUACAGUGUACAUCCCAACCCUCUACGGCCGUUGCUGCUCCACCCGGGCAUUACCACAUCCACCCGGGUCUACAAGAAACCUCCAGGGCCGAGCUUCAACCACAGAACACCUCGUCACCGUUGAGGAGGUUCCACGCCCCGGACCACAGCCAUGUUAGCCUGGAUAAUAAAACUUGGCGCACUUAUUCUGAGACGUCCUCGUGAGUGAGUGCCCUAAUUGCCUUCAUGGAUAAUGUCACAGGUAUCCGAUGGUUCAGGUGUGAUCUCAGAUAUUUUUGUUAUUGUGUCGUAAAUAUCCAGUGAUAGUCGCUGAAUGUUCAUCGCACACAGUUUGUCUUUGAGUAGAAACACUGAUUAAUAUCCAUGAUCGGUUAGGUUACGAACUCCCACGAUUUCAGACUGGAGAGCUACACAACACUGGUCAUCCGCUGAGUGGUUGAUUUCCUGGUCUACCGGCCCCUGGAGGAGUGGUCGAUUGCCUGGUCUACCGUGGAUAUGAGUGGUUGAUUCCCUGGUCUACCCUUGGAUGACGCAGCUGUUCCUAUGCAGGGGAGGACUCACACAAGCGAUAAGCACCUGUCGGACCUGGAAACUCCCCCCUGAGCCUGACGGUGGAGCUGUGGGCCCUGCACCAGACCCCCCCCACCCCCCCACACCACCCACAGCAGGGGCAGGGCGUUGAGACUCCCCCCACAGGCUAAGACAGGGAGGGACUUGAAGAUCCAGAUGUCUAAGGUUCCGCCCAUGCAGCUGAAGGGUGCCAAUGCCUACACAUGCGUCGACCACAGGUGUGCGCUGGACAUUGCCUACAAUUCAUGGUGCAAAUGGGAGCGUCAGCGGAGAUCGAGCUGGCGGAAGGUUGGCGGCCGGGUCAAGCUCGCAACGGACAAGGAGUUCUGUGAGAUGUGCUCGGCGGAUGUUGUUGACCUCGGCCACAUCAAUGUUACUAAGGUGGUGGAGGUGUGGAAACUACAUCUACAUUGACGACGGACUCAAGGAGAUCGCUGAGACUACUACUACUACUAUUACUAUUGCUAUCCUCUAUACUGAUAUGUGUACUAUUAAAUCCUCUAUACAGCUACUAUGUGUACUAUUGAAUCCCUUAUAUAGUACUUCCAUGAGAGCUGAUGAAUGAUACUACUUCUACUACUGCUAUGACCACUCAAUCCCUGGUAAGUACAAUGUCAUUAUCAUCAUCAUUAUUUAGGUUAAGGUCCAUUUAAUUCAAUCUUCCUGAGCGGUUGGACGCUUUAUGGCUCUCCUCCAUUCUACUCUGUCUUCCGCCCAAUGCUUAUACGGUCCUAUCAAUCCCAAGUCUUCCUGUACACACCUUCUCCAUGUUUUCCUAGGUCUACCAACUGGUCUCCUUCCUUCUACCUCCAUUCUACUGUCUUCCCCCCAAUGCUUAUACAGUCCUAUCAAUCCCAAGUCUUCCUGUACACACCUUCUCCAUGUUUUCCUAGGUCUACCAACUGGUCUCCUUCCUUCUACCUCCAUUCUACUCUGUCUUCUGCCCAAUGCUCAUCCAAUCCCAUCAAUGCCAAGUCUUCCUGUACACACCUUCUCCACGUUUUCCUAGGUCUACCAACUGGUCUCCUUCCUUCUACCUCCAAUCUCUCCAACACUCCCAGCACUGUAUCCUCCCCUGCUCUCUUUACAUGUCCAAACCAUUGGAGUCUUUCCCUUCUGAGCACUGUUUCCAGGUCCUCUACUAAAACUCCCAGCACUGUGUCCUCCCCUGCUCUCUUUACAUAUCCAAACCAUCAGUCUUUCCCUUCUGAGCACUGUUUCCAGGUCCUCUACUAAAACUCCCAGCACUGUGUCCUCCCCUGCUCUCUUUACAUGUCCAAACCAUCGGAGUCUUUCCCUUCUGAGCACUGUUUCCAGGUCCUCUACUAAAACUCCCAGCACUGUGUCCUCCCCUGCUCUCUUUACAUGUCUCUGCCAAAUAUUUCCCUCUCCCUGCCUCUGUCCCUGCCAAAUCACUCUCUCCAUGCCUGUGUCCCUGCCAUAUCUCUCCCUCCCUGCCAAAUCUAGCCUCUCCUCCUUACCUAACCUACCUUACCCUAUCCUAAGCUACCCUAACCUACCUCUCUCUCCACCAGGUUGACAAGCCCGUCCAUGGUGAAGAAGCCUUGUCCUACCUGCGCUGAGAUGACCCAUGUGGGCAACGCUACCAUGGAUGGAGCAGUGGGGGAGGCGGUGGCUGAGUGGAUAGCAUGAUGGCGCCACAUUCGGGACAACGUGAGUUCAAUCCCCGCCCGGUGCCACCAAGCUGGGAUUUUUCAGCCGCCGCCGAGUGGCUUAAAACUACCCACAUGCUGUCCAGAAGACCACCUAUCAACCUGGGAGGGCAGCAUGAGCCAAUGCAAGAUGGCGUAUGUAUAUACUUAUGAAUGUAUAUACUUAGAAUAUCUCUUUGAUAAGGCUUUCGUCGGAGUUGUGGAUAUUUCCAGGGGUAGUUCUAUGACCCUGGUGGUAGUGUGACCCCUCCUCUGUACCAUGAACCUGAAGAAACACCUAUUUGACAAGGCUUUCUUAGGAGUUGAGGGCAUUUCCAGGAGUAGUUCUAUGACCCUGGUGGUAGUGUGACCCCUCCUCUGUACCAUGAACCUGAAGAAACACCUAUUUGACAAGGCUUUCUUAGGAGUUGAGGGCAUUUCCAGGAGUAGUUCUAUGACCCUGGUGGUAGUGUGACCCCUCCUCUGUACCAUGAACCUGUAGAAACACUCCUUCGAACCCGAUUGACCCCCUCUUCGACCUUUAUAAAUAGGUAAUGUGAAAAGCGAAAGUGUCUUGCAAUACCGCCCUAAGAGAACACUCAUUACAACCUGAUUUAUAACUUUUUUGGCUGGUACAUAAAGUCCCUGCUCAAGGUCACCAUACAGCAGGAGGCGUAACGUAUGUGUGGGUUUUCAAGCAAAAUCUGGAAACCUAUCUUCGUUAUUGGGGCUAUUUCCUUGCAAAUGGGGACUUUCCUGGGAGAGUACGUCACGGCAAAGCCAUUUCUGGUCUCAAAAUUGUGAUACAGCGCCUACCGGUCGAGAUAGCCUUGUGUCUAGUUCUGUCUCUCUCUUAUCUCUGUGUGUUAUAUAAAGGCUGGCCUCUAACAGUACAUGCAGCAACAUAUGUAACUGUACCUAAUGGGCUAUUAAGAAAUGUUUCAAAUGUUCUGCCUUUACCUCAGUUAAUUCAUUCUUCCUCAUAUAUAUAUAUAUCUUGAUUGCCGUCUCAUCUUUUUAAUUAAUCCUCGAUCGCUCUCUCUUAAUAUAUAUAUCUUGAUUGCCCUCUCAUCUUUUUAAUUAAUCCUCGAUCGCUCUCUUAAUAUAUAUAUCUUGAUUGCCCUCUCAUCUUUUUAAUUAAUCCUCGAUCGCUCUCUUAAUAUAUAUAUCUUGAUUGCCCUCUCAUCUUUUUAAUUAAUCCUCGAUCGCUCUCUUAAUAUAUAUAUCUUGAUUGCCCUCUCAUCUUUUUAAUUAAUCCUCGAUCGCUCUCUUAAUAUAUAUAUCUUGAUUGCCGUCUCAUCUUUUUAAUUAAUCCUUGAUCGCUCUCUCUUAAUAUAUAUAUCUUGAUUGCCCUCUCAUCUUUUUAAUUAAUCCUCGAUCGCUCUCUCUUAAUAUAUAUAUAUCUUGAUUGCCCUCUCAUCUUUUUAAUUAAUCCUCGAUCGCUCUCUCUUAAUAUAUAUAUCUUGAUAGCCCUCUCAUCUUUUUAAUUAACCCUCGAUCGCUCUCUCUUAAUAUAUAUAUCUUGAUUGCCCUCUCAUCUUUUUAAUUAAUCCUCGAUCGCUCUCUCUUAAUCAUCCCAGCCAGCUGUUCCUCAUAGUGGCCCUCGCACACUUGUACACAAUUUUCCGUACAUACCAAGAUCCAUUUCUAAUCGUCAGCCAACUCUAAUAUAAAUUCUUUCUUCCACUCCUCUUUAUAAUAGUAGUUCUGUCUCUCUCUGUGUGUUCUGUCUUUACCUCACAGUUCAUAAUUUGUCUCCUAAUUCUUGCCUUAUGUCAGGGUACUAGGCUUUAUUAACAGGACGGUAACCAACAGGAGUGCAGAGGUCAUCCUCAGACUCUAUUUAGCGUUAGUUAGGCCACACUUAGAUUAUGCUGUCCAGUUUUGGUGCCCACUCUACAGAAUGGACAUCAACUUGCUAGAAUCAGUUCAGAGGAGGAUGACCAAGAUGAUUCAGGGGCUGAGGAACCUCCCAUAUCAAAAUAGGCUGAAGUUAACUGACAUUAUUAUUUACAAGUCAUCCUUCUGUUGUAAUGGUAGCAAGCAUCCCUGACCAAAACUUGGAGUGACCUCACGCCAUGAUGACGAGGUUAAAUGUCCGGCCCUGAGCGGGAAGCUGCCCCGUGGCCUGGCCAGGGGCUUGAUGACCGUCCACCACCCAUUCGCGGGGCGUGGCGGGCCGAGCACAGGCUGAGUGGUGGAGGACUAUAGAGGAUCUUCCUUUUUUUGAGAAGAGGAGGAGAAGAGGAAUGAAGAGGAAGAGAAAGGAGAGAGAGGAGGAGGGAAAGAGGAAGAAGAGGAUGAAGGAAAGAGGAAUGAAGAGGAGAAGAAGAGGAAAGAGAGAAGAAGGAGGGAAAGAGGAGGAAGGAAAGAGGAAUGAAGAGGAAGGGAAAGGAAAGAGAAGGAGAAGGGAAAGAGGAGGAAGGAAAGAGGAUCACUUCUAUAGUAUGACAGCCAAGUUCCCUGACUGAAACUUGGAGUGACCUCACGCCACGUUGACGAGGUUAAGUGUCCGGCCCUGAGCGGGAAGCUGCCCAGUGGGGGGCUUGAUGACCGGCCACCACCUGUUCGCGGGGCGUGGCGGGCCGAACACAGACUGAGUGGUGGAGGUCUAUAGAGGAUCUUCCUUUUUUUGAGAAGAGGAGGAGAAGAGGAAAGAGAGAAGAAGGAGGGAAAGAGGAGGAAGGAAAGAGGAAUGAAGAGGAAGGGAAAGGAAAGAGAAGGAGAAAGGAAAGAGGAGGAAGGACAAGAGGAUCACUUCUAUAGUAUGACAGCCAAGUUCCCUGACCGAAACUUGGAGUGACCUCACGCCACGAUGACGAGGUUAAGUGUCCGGCCCUGAGCAGGAAGCUGCCCAGUGGUCUGGCCAGGGGCUUGAUGACCGUCCACCACCCGUUCGCGGGGCGUGGCGGGCCGAGCACAGGCUGAGUGGUGGAGGAGGGCUUUUUGAAGUUAACUAACAAUAUUAUUUACAAGUCAUCCUCCUGUUCGUAAUGGUAGCAAGCUUUUUGAAGUUAACUAACAAUAUUAUUUACAAGUCAUCCUUCUGUUCGUAAUGGUAGCAAGCUUUUUGAAGUUAAAUAACUAUUAUUUACAAGUAAUCCUUCUGUUGUAAUGGUAGCGAGCUUUUUGAAGUUAACUAACAAUAUUAUUUACAAGUCAUCCUUCUGUUGGUAAUGGUAGCAAGCUUUUUGAAGUUAACUAACAAUACUAUUUACAAGUCAUCCUUCUGUUGGUAAUGGUAGCAAGCUUUUUGAAGUUAACUAACAAUAUUAUUUACAAGUCAUCCUUCUGUUGUAAUGGUAGCAAGCUUUUUGAAGUUAACUAACAAUAUUAUUUACAAGUCAUCCUUCUGUUAGUAAUGGUAGCGAGCUUUUUGAAGUUAAGUAACAAUCGUAAUUAAUAUUAUCACUGGUCACUCCUAUUCAUCAUAAAGGACUCACUCACCUCUUGAGAGUGUUACAACUAUAUAGUAGAUCUGGUACACUGGCCAUAGCCUAAACACCUAACCGUUGCUACAUAUCAAGCUAUCCUAAUCAGGGUUCAGUGAAACAUAAUUAUUACAGAAAAAUGUUUCCUACCACCGAUGUGUGUUCACAGGGAUGAUCAUGGAAGUAAGGUGGUCAUGUGGGGCUGAAGACACCAAGGUUGUCAUAAAUACACACAAACACUGGACCAUACGAAUGACACUAACAAUUUAUCCGGUUCUAUUACUUAGUCAGACAUUCGUGUGGGUCUCAGAUACCAGAGGGUGAUCAUGGAUCGGCACAACAGAGGGGAACUUUACACAUUUUACUACAUGAGGGGGUAGGGGACAUGUGUAAGGAGAGGCGAGAGCUCGACUCGGUUAACCGUUAUAGGUAUGAUAAUAACAUUGUAACGCACUAAAUAAUCACUGUCCGUAGGAGUUAAUUUCACACAUACCUGUGUUUACGUUCAUAGUAACACCGUUGUUCCUUGUUUGAUCAUGAUUUCCUUGUUCGCUUUUACCAGCCCGUCCAUGUCCAGCCAUGGCAGGCUUUUAAAUCAAUCCAGGAACACAAGGUUGACAUGAAAAGACAAAACUGGUAAGCAUAUGUGGGUCCUAUACAGACCGCGAGCGAGUCCGUCCGUCCUCCGCCGCUGGGUCAGUUAAUGCCAUAUCAUGUGGUGAGUGAGUGCCAAUAAUAAGAGUGGUGGAUGAGCAGAUCAGGCCUGGCAGUCAUGUGGUGAAUUUUAUUGCGCUGGGGUAGAUAUCAGAUUCGGGAUAGAUAUGUGUUGACACGUUAUCAUUGUCAAAGGCAUGGCCACACCUUAAAAAACUGUAAUAUUAAGGAAGAUGAUGAUGUAUGUGGUAUCUGUUGUGGUAAUCAUAGACCUAGUUCCUCAAAUAUGCAGAAACAUAUCAAUUGUGUCAGACAGAGAAGGGAGGAGGUAAAUCAUAGAGUCAGUGCCAGGUGUUGUAAGGUUUUCACUGCUGAGUUAAGUAAGUUGGCCUCUAUAACGGAUCAUGGAUUCUAGGGUCGGUAUUACAAGACAGAUUUGCUUCUCUCAUCACCUAUUUCUAAAGGUCAAAGAGGGGGUCAGUCGUGUUCUAAUGAUUGUCUCUUCAGGUUUAUGGUACAGAAGAAGGGUCACACUACUACCAGGGUCAAACACUACUCCUGGAAAUGCCCACAACUCCUACGAAAGCCUUGUCAAAUAUGUGUUCUUGGGCUAUUGAAUAUUUAAAUUGCGCUUUUGUUAAUAUUCAAUCUCUGGGUAACAAGACUAUUCAAAUUAGGGAAAUGUUAAAUGAGCAAUCACUUGAUAUUCUAGCUAUUUCUGAGACUUGGCUGCAUGAGCGUGACACAAGUAGAAUUACUGGGAUGACACGUACCUGCUACUCACAUUUUCUUUCAUAGCCCCAGGGAGGGCAGACGAGGGGGUGGUGUAGGCAUUUUCUUGUCAAAUAUUUUUUCUCGCCUGAGGGUGUUGACACGAGUGAAAGUAUCAAGUUUUGAAUAUAUUGAAGUUAAUUUUAAGCAUCAAAACCAGUGGACAGCAUACUUUGUUAUUUCUAGGCCACCUUGGUCAAGUGUUAAUCUCUUCUUUGAUGAAUUUAGUGCAUUGUUGGACUUAAUUGAUAUGGUUUCUUUUAAAGUUUUUAUUGUUGGUGACUUCAAUAUAUGGAUGGAUGACCAUGAAAACCAACACACACUGAGAAGUCUGGCUGUGUUUUCAGGGCCGGAAAUACACGGGACUGUGACUUCAGUCUCAAAAAUUCAUUGAGCAUCGCAGUGUUGACGAAUAUUGUAUUAUAAACAAUUUA